This 792-nucleotide ribosomal RNA is filed under the name uncultured archaeon. RNAcentral's name for it is "bacterial SSU rRNA". It matches the Rfam family "Archaeal small subunit ribosomal RNA", at positions 85 to 879 of the family's 1478-position model. The record is from RNAcentral.
ACUGCUCAGUAACACGUGGACAACCUGCCCUUAGGUUGGGUAUAAACCCGGGAAACUGGGUAUAAUACCCGAUAGGUCUCGAUUGCUGGAAUGCAUCGAGAUUUAAAGCUCCGGCGCCUAAGGAUGGGUCUGCGGCCUAUCAGGUAGUAGUGGGUGUAGCGUACCUACUAGCCUACGACGGGUACGGGUUGUGAGAGCAAGAGCCCGGAGAUGGAUUCUGAGACACGAAUCCAGGCCCUACGGGGUGCAGCAGGCGCGAAAACUUUACAAUGCUGGCAACAGCGAUAAGGGAACCUCGAGUGCCAGGUUACAAAUCUGGCUGUCGAGAUGCCUAAAAAGCAUUUCAUAGCAAGGGCCGGGCAAGACCGGUGCCAGCCGCCACGGUAACACCGGCGGCUCGAGUGGUAACCGUUAUUAUUGGGUCUAAAGGGUCUGUAGCCGGCCGGAUAAGUCUCUUGAGAAAUCUGGCAGCUUAACUGUCAGGCUUUCAGGAGAUACUGUCUGGCUCGAGGCCGGGAGAGGUGAGAGGUACUUCAGGGGUAGGGGUGAAAUCUUGUAAUCCUUGAAGGACCACCAGUGGCGAAGGCGUCUCACCAGAACGGACCUGACGGCAAGGGACGAAAGCUAGGGGCACGAACCGGAUUAGAUACCCAGGUAGUCCUAGCCGUAAACGAUACUCGCUAGGUGUCGGCCACGGUGCGACCGUUGUCGGUGCCGUAGGGAAGCCGUGAAGCGAGCCACCUGGGAAGUACGGCCGCAAGGCUGAACUUAAAGGAAUUGGCGGGGGAGCAC